RNAcentral lists this long non-coding RNA (778 nucleotides) under Sus scrofa (pig). RNAcentral's name for it is "lncRNA (ENSSSCG00065060143.1)". The record is from RNAcentral. Lineage: Eukaryota; Metazoa; Chordata; Mammalia; Artiodactyla; Suidae.
CGGGCUGCGCGCGGUGGGGGGGGGGGGGGGGGGGGGGGACGCGAUGAGCGGCCUCGUCGCCAGGUCCCGGACAGAACGCGCUCCGCCCCCACGAGGCCCGGGCCAGGGUUUGUUUGACCCCAGCCUGAAGUUUCUGCUCGGGCCUGGGGGCUGCGGGGCGGAACUGCGUUCCUGGGAGCCGCGAGCCAGCAGCCGGCCGGCUCUUUGUGCCCGCUCGAGGCCGCCUGGGUGAGGUUGGCCGCCCCCAUGAAUCCCCAGCCACAGUGCCCAGCCUGGCCCAUCCCGUACGGUGUGGGUGUGCUCCCGCCUGCCCUUUCAAAAAUCAGAAUUUAUAGUUGGUUAGACUGGCUAAUAACACAAGUCACAGUUCCCCAAGGUGAGUUGGCUCUUUACAGCCAGCAAGAGUGGAUGCAGCUCUGCUGACUUUUGAGCCUGGCAGAAGAUUCUAGAAUACCCGUGACUGCAGCUCACCUCUCUAUGACCCUGACAGUGGAGACAGGGGUUCAUCACCCUCCGUCUUCUCACCUGGUGAGACAACUCCCAGGCCUUUCGUUCCCUUGGGAGAAAACCUCACGUGGAAAGCACUUCUCUGAGUGGCGGAUGACACCUACGCCAGCCUCUGCCUGUGCUGCUUCUGGUUCUGCAGAGUUUGAGAGGCGAAAACCACAGUUGCCUGGGUACCUGGAAGCCAGUGUUUUGGAUACGAUUUUAAGUCUGUUAGAUGUACUUGCAUGAGAUGUGGAAAAUGGAAAUAAAAUGAACCGAGGCGAGACUGACA